AACAAAAUAAAGGUUAUCUCUCCUUCGAGCCGGAAUCGAACCAGCGACCUAAGGAUGGCCACGGGUGUGCACCUACAGUCCUCCGCUCUACCAGCUGAGCUAUCGAAGGGAGCGAACGAAAUGCCUUGGGUGCCGCCUUCUCUCAUAAUAUUGUGUCAUUUUUAGGCUUCAUGUUUUUAGUAUUGUGUUCUCUCUUCGAUUCCUAGGUUCCGGGAGCACCAGAUACCCCUUCCCGCGGACCUCCCACCUCCUCACUGCAGCGGGUGCGAGCCCUCGGAUCCCAGAAGCUGCCCGGGGCUCUGAGGAGCAGGUCCCGUCUGGCCCCUGGAGCCGGCGCUGGCUCCUGUAUCACUCGGGGGCCCGGGCAAUGACAAAGACGGACUAGAAACACACAGAAGCCGUGACCCGGCAGUCGCUCAGCCGAGCGCAGACCCACAGCUGCGCUGGGAACCUGCCCGAGCAGGUCUCCGAGCGGGGGAAUCGCAAAAAAGAAUUCCCGCGCAGGCUGGGAGGCCCAAAAGGGAUAGAAAGCGCUAGACUUUCCCACUGCUCGUUGAAAUGCAAUGUGACAUUGAAGGAACCCAAAGAAAGGGCCAUAAAUCAUCGGAAGCUGCAAAAACCUACGCUUGUCUCCUUCGAGCCGGAAUCGAACCAGCGACCUAAGGAUGUCUCCUGCUGAGGAAGUAGCUACAGUCCUCCGCUCUACCAGCUGAGCUAUCGAAGGGACGCGUAAUUGCGCCUGCGUCCCUUGAGGUACAACACAGAAAAACCUAAGGGCCCGUCCAAGCAGCCGGAGAUUGCACUGAGCAUGCGUAAUCCGAGGAGCGCAGAGCCCCAGAGCCGGCCUGCGUAGUCUACGCGUGCGCAGAAAGACAGCGCGCCCUGGCUCGCGUGCCUGACUGACCUGGGAGAGGCAAGUGAACCCGUGUCUGGCGCCGGCGGUGCCGAGACCCUGCUACUCCACUGUCGCCCCUUGUCGUACUUUACCAGCCUGCAUUGUCCUUUAAAGUGGUUGCCGAGUGUGUUCUCAACAAGCUGUAAUCCAACCACCAGUAGGACGUUUGGCGUGACGUACCAGUGGCGCAAUGGGCAACGAGUCUGACCGUGGAUCAAAAGAUUGCAGGUUCGGCUCCUGCCUGCCUGGUUUGGCGUUUUUGUCACCUGAGAAUGUGUGCUCCACCAAGAUAGAGAUUUGUGUCUGCUUUGCUUACUGCUGUAUCCUCAGCUCUAGAUCAAUGACUGUCAUGUAGUACAAACUAAAUAAAUAUUUGGUAAAAGAGUAAAUGUGAGCCAGGCACAGUGG
This is a long non-coding RNA of Sapajus apella (tufted capuchin), 1303 nucleotides long. RefSeq lists it as uncharacterized. The record is from RefSeq and is a predicted model, not a curated record. Lineage: Eukaryota; Metazoa; Chordata; Mammalia; Primates; Cebidae. The transcript is spliced from 2 exons.